ACUCCUACGGGAGGCAGCAGUGGGAAUAUUGCACAAUGGGGAAGCCCAUCGAUGCAGCCAUGCCGCGCUGUGUGAAGAAGGCCAAUUCGGGCUUGGUAAAGACACUUUCAGUAGGGAGGAAGGUAGUGUAGUUAACACCUGCAUUAUUUGACGUUACCUACAGAAGAAGCACCGGCUAACUCCGUGCCAGCAGCCGCGGUAAUACGGAGGGUGCGAGCGUUAAUCGGAAUUACUGGGCGUAAAGCGCAUGCAGGCGGCCUGUUAAGUCAGAUGUGAAAGCCCGGGCUUAACCUCGGAAUUGCAUUUGAAACUGGCAGGCUAGAGUCUUGUAGAGGGGGUGAGAAUUGAUCAGGUG
RNAcentral lists this ribosomal RNA (355 nucleotides) under uncultured bacterium. Its description in RNAcentral is "bacterial SSU rRNA". It matches the Rfam family "Bacterial small subunit ribosomal RNA", at positions 335 to 677 of the family's 1533-position model. The record is from RNAcentral.